Long non-coding RNA from Sebastes umbrosus (honeycomb rockfish), 710 nucleotides. RefSeq lists it as uncharacterized. NCBI's taxonomy places the organism in Eukaryota, Metazoa, Chordata, Actinopteri, Perciformes, Sebastidae. The transcript is spliced from 3 exons. The record is from RefSeq and is a predicted model, not a curated record.
CCUCUGACCUGUGAGCAUCACGCUUAGCGGUCCUACGACGCUGGUCAUCAACUCGGUAAAUCAACCCAGAGUUUCUCAGUCUGGAUAUGAGUGCGUUCACAUAAAGGGGCGGGGUUUACAACAUCUGACCAAUCACAAUCAUGGACAAGUCUACUAUCAGCAGAACCAAGAGCGAACUAUAUUCUGUAUUAGUGUCCGAAUAAAACCUUUAAACCGAAACCAAAACACAGUGAAAGGAACCAUCUGAGCCUUCACCAGAUUCAUGUCUGACAAAACUUCAAACCUCCCCCUCCCCCCAUGCUUCAUCACUCACAGUAGAACAUCUUGAUUCAUUUCGAAUAGACAUUAAAGAUGUUUGUGGACUAUCAGCUGAUCAGAAAAUGAAAUCAGAGCGUGCUGCUUCUCGUGGUCGAGUCCAAAACAUCUCCUCACACUGAGAGGACGAGCGAACGCCGCGGGGACAGAUUCAUUAUGUCACUCAUUAUCAGCGGCAGAGUUAAUCCUGCCGAUGGCAAUCUGAAGCUGAACAGAUCAAUCUCACUGUUUAAUGAGAUGUAAUCCUCUCCGCCAAUUCCCUCCUGUCACUCAUAGAAACUGAAACCACACGACUAGCGGAGGAAAACUUUACAAACUGUACACAGUUUUCCUCGAACAAAGUGACGUCUUCAUUUCAGAUUCAUUUACAUUCUCAGACGUCAGAUGACCUAAUG